RNAcentral lists this ribosomal RNA (590 nucleotides) under Cortinarius anomalus. RNAcentral describes it as "eukaryotic LSU rRNA". It matches the Rfam family "Eukaryotic large subunit ribosomal RNA", at positions 1 to 589 of the family's 3401-position model. Lineage: Eukaryota; Fungi; Basidiomycota; Agaricomycetes; Agaricales; Cortinariaceae. The record is from RNAcentral.
UGUGACCUCAAAUCAGGUAGGACUACCCGCUGAACUUAAGCAUAUCAAUAAGCGGAGGAAAAGAAACUAACAAGGAUUCCCCUAGUAACUGCGAGUGAAGCGGGAAAAGCUCAAAUUUAAAAUCUGUCAGUCUUUGGCUGUCCGAGUUGUAAUCUAGAGAAGUGUUAUCCGCGCUGGACCGUGUACAAGUCUCCUGGAAUGGAGCGUCAUAGAGGGUGAGAAUCCCGUCUUUGACACGGACUGCCAGGGCUUUGUGAUGCGCUCUCAAAGAGUCGAGUUGUUUGGGAAUGCAGCUCAAAAUGGGUGGUAAAUUCCAUCUAAAGCUAAAUAUUGGCGAGAGACCGAUAGCGAACAAGUACCGUGAGGGAAAGAUGAAAAGAACUUUGGAAAGAGAGUUAAACAGUACGUGAAAUUGCUGAAAGGGAAACGCUUGAAGUCAGUCGCGUUGGCCAGGGAUCAACCUUGCUUUUGCUUGGUGUACUUUCUGGUUGACGGGUCAGCAUCAAUUUUGACUGUUGGAAAAAAAUUAAGGGAAUGUGGCAUCUUUGGAUGUGUUAUAGCCCUUGGUUGCAUACAAUGGUUGGGAUUGA